Molecule: long non-coding RNA, 996 nt
Organism: Corvus hawaiiensis (hawaiian crow)
Lineage: Eukaryota; Metazoa; Chordata; Aves; Passeriformes; Corvidae
Exons: 7
Source: RefSeq, a predicted model, not a curated record
GACACACUGAUGUUGUAUGGCUAGGAAAUGGGACAGUGAGGUGGACGGAAAACUCAGGAGCUCAGCAGCACCACAAAGCCAAGCUGAAGGCCCACCCUAACCCUAAGCCCUCUGGUCAGUACUGAGGUGGGCAGUGUUCAACAUUAGUGAUCUGGAUGAUGGGACAGUGCACCUUCAGGAGGUUUGAGGAUGACGCAAAACUUGGGGUGGUUCAUAAACUGUGCUAUUUCCCAGGGCAUCAACAGACUGGAGAAAUGGACUCACAGGAAUCUCAUGGAGUUCAACAAAGAGAAAUCCAAAGUUCUGCCCCUGGAAAGGAAUAACUGCGGGCACCAACACAGUCCAAGCAGCUGGAAAGAGAAGACCCUAGAGGUCCUGGAGAAGAACACUGAAUGGCUGAAGGUUUAGCACAGAAAAAAAAAGCCAAAAAGCCAAAGGUGGAGAGGAAAGAACCAAAAAAGCAGAUUACAGUUUUGGAGUCAUCAGUAGGAGAGAACCCAGCAAACUGACAGACCUGAAAUCAUGUCCUUUGAUUGUAAUUGACAGGGAAAGCGUUUAAGGUGUGUUCUUCUGUGACUUGUGAUGUUCAGAACUUCACGUAUAUGAAGGCACUUAAAAAACGAAAAACAACAAACCCUAUUAGAAGGCUUCAGGGAUGACCAUGUUGAGGGAUGGAUUUUAUACUUUGAUCUGAAGAAGCUGGGAUUCCCAGAAGAGCUCAUCUCUUUGAGGAUGGAGACACAUUGGGGAUGCAUGUUAUGAGUGAUAUGAAAAGAAGUUAGGUGGGACAAGGGGGAAAAAACCAGUAUUCUGGGUUUUCAUGAGAAAAGACAGAAGUCUCCUGAUCUUGCCAUCUUUUUCAUUCAACGUGUUUAGAACACUACCUGCAAGUGCUCUCAGAUGUCACUUGAAGAAGGAAGAAAGGAUUGGAUUAAAGUUUGUCAUGGAGAUUUUUAUUUUCACAUGAUCAGUCAUCCAAUUGAGGCAAUGCAUGGU